UGGCCUUUAGAUUUUAGUCAGUUCCUCUGU
Molecule: non-coding RNA, 30 nt
Filed under: Mus musculus (house mouse)
Lineage: Eukaryota; Metazoa; Chordata; Mammalia; Rodentia; Muridae
Source: RNAcentral